GACGAACGCUGGCGGCGUGCCUAAUACAUGCAAGUCGAGCGCAGGAAACUGACGGAACUCUUCGGAGGGAAGGCAGUGGAAUGAGCGGCGGACGGGUGAGUAACACGUAAGGAACCUGCCUCAAGGAUUGGGAUAACUCCGAGAAAUCGGAGCCAAUACCGGAUAGUUCAACGGACCGCAUGGUCCGCUGAUGAAAGGCGCUUCGGCGUCACCUUGAGAUGGCCUUGCGGUGCAUUAGCUAGUUGGUGGGGUAACGGCCCACCAAGGCGACGAUGCAUAGCCGACCUGAGAGGGUGAUCGGCCACACGGGGACUGAGACACGGCCCAGACUCCUACGGGAGGCAGCAGUAGGGAAUCUUCCACAAUGGACGAAAGUCUGAUGGAGCAACGCCGCGUGAGUGAUGAAGGUUUUCGGAUCGUAAAACUCUGUUGUAAGGGAAGAACACGUACGAGAGGAAAUGCUCGUACCUUGACGGUACCUUACGAGAAAGCCACGGCUAACUACGUGCCAGCAGCCGCCGUAA
Molecule: ribosomal RNA, 524 nt
Filed under: uncultured bacterium
Lineage: Bacteria
Description: partial 16S ribosomal RNA
Rfam family: Bacterial small subunit ribosomal RNA
Source: RNAcentral